RNAcentral lists this long non-coding RNA (1543 nucleotides) under Rattus norvegicus (Norway rat). Its description in RNAcentral is "long non-coding RNA NONRATT011358". Lineage: Eukaryota; Metazoa; Chordata; Mammalia; Rodentia; Muridae. The record is from RNAcentral.
GGCUAGAUGAGGCCAUAUGUAUACAUAUCUACAGACUGUGUAUGUGGAGUUAAGACCUGUCUCAGUGCACCAGUAACUGAUGCUGGGAGAUGAAUGGCUUAGCGCUGUUCUGCUUGGAACACAUCACUCCUGCCAGCCGGGCACUAACAAUUAUCAUCCAAUCCAGGACUUAAACUGUGAUAGAGUGGCUGAUAGAGUGUCCCAAAAGAUGGGACCACUGGUCAGCUGCCAUGGACUAGAUUCUCCACCGGUUGGGGACAAUCUGGUCACCUUGCUGCCCAAUCCGGACCUGGAGCCACCACAGCACGAGUGUCAAACACUGACAGAAGCACAUGGGUGGAGGAAAGACCUCUACAACUGGCUGAUUGACCCCUGCUGAAAGUGGAGGCUACCUUGCCCACAGACGAGAACAGUUCUCUUCAUAAAGGUCAGAGAUAAGUGGGUGCUGCCGUGGUGGACAAAACAAUGUCAUCUGGGAUGGCUGAACCCCAACCCCCCAGCACAUCAGCGCCACAGAUGCCUUUGCCAUCUCUUAAGAUGCCCUGAUGAAGCCAACAACUGUGAGUACUAUUCAUUGCUCAGGAUAUCAGGAGGGAAGACAUUCAGUGACAUGGGACAGUAACAAAACAGAUAAAGUGGCUCGGGAAAUGGCUAUACAGGAGCCUAUCCUGGUUACAGGCCUACAAGAGACAGCCACUGGGAACUGGGAUUUGACUAAGGGAUGGCCUCACUUAGAAUAUACAACAGAAGAAAAGGCCCAAGUUGUUUAAAAGAUAAAAGGACAAUGACACACUUGGGGAGAAAGCUAUACCCCCCAAAGAACAAACAAAAGACUCACUUUGUCAAAAAAAAAAAAAAAGACUCAUUUAAGAGAUAAGAAGUUUGUCCAAAUAGUUAAAAUAUAUGUAAUAGACUUUAAGAUUUUAGCCAAGAGAGACAGUAAAAAAUAUAAGAUAUGUCAGUAAGUAAAUGCUUAACAAACAAACAAGACAAAGAGACCUAGAGAGUUUAAUAAAAAGUCAAAAUAAACUUCACUGAGAUAAAAUCAGAAAAAUAUAAUCACAAGUAUCUCCUAGUGCUUGUAGAUACUUUUUCAGGAAUAGAUAAAAGCUUUCCUCACCAAACGAGAGACGGCCUCUACAAUCAUCAAGAAGAUACUAGAAGAAAUCUUCCCUAGGUCUGGAAUGCCCAAGGUAAUCUGGUCAGACAACGGCCCUACUUUCGUUGCCAAGGUAAGCCAGGGUGUGGCCAAGUAUUUAGAGGUCGAUUAGAAAUUACAUUAUAUUUACAGACCUCAAAGUUUAAGACAGGUAGAAUAAAUAAAUAGAACUCUAAAAGAGACCCUAAACAAAUUGACCAUGGAGACUGGCGCAGACUGGGUGACACUCCUUCCCUCUUGCUCUCUUCAGAGCAAGAAAUACCCCUUCCAGAUUCAGCCUUACCCCCUUUGAGAUCUUAUCUGGGGCCUCAGCUCCUCUGACUGUAUUAGAUGAUGUUACUGAACCAACAUGUCAUAGUGCCAUAGUAAUAAUGAUUUGUGUGC